UACGUAGGGUGCAGGCGUUAAUCGGAAUUCCUGGGCGUAAAGCGUGCGCAGGCGGCUCCUUAAGUCAGAUGUGAAAGCCCCGGGCUUAACCUGGGAACUGCGUUUGAAACUGGAAGGCUAGAGUGUGGCAGAGGGGGGUGGAAUUCCACGUGUAGCAGUGAAAUGCGUAGAUAUGUGGAGGAACACCGAUGGCAAAGGCAGCCCCCUGGGCUAACACUGACGCUCAUGCACGAAAGCGUGGGGAGCAAACAGG
This 253-nucleotide ribosomal RNA is filed under the name uncultured bacterium. RNAcentral describes it as "partial 16S ribosomal RNA". It matches the Rfam family "Bacterial small subunit ribosomal RNA", at positions 524 to 776 of the family's 1533-position model. The record is from RNAcentral.